CCGUGCAAAGGUAGCACAAUCACUUGUCUCUUAAAUCGAGACCUGUAUGAAUGACAUCACGAGGAUUUAACUGUCUCCCUUCACCAAUCAGUGAAACUAAUCUCCCUGUGAAAAAGCAGGGCUACUCAUACAAGACGAGAAGACCCUAUGGAGCUUUAAACUAGUAACACUUGCUCACUUUCCCAUGAUAUUCAGCAUAAUGCUUAUACGUUUUCGGUUGGGGUGACCCUGGAGAAAAACCUAACCUCCAGGCUGUUAAAUAUAAGAACCUCAAUUCUACAAUCAACAUAUUGACACAAUUGACCCAAACAUUUGAUCAACGAACCAAGUUACCCUAGGGAUAACAGCGCCAUCCACUUCAAGAGCACAUAUCAACAAGUGGGCUUACGACCUCGAUG
Molecule: ribosomal RNA, 398 nt
Filed under: Craugastor podiciferus (Cerro Utyum robber frog)
Lineage: Eukaryota; Metazoa; Chordata; Amphibia; Anura; Craugastoridae
Description: partial 16S ribosomal RNA
Rfam family: Bacterial large subunit ribosomal RNA
Source: RNAcentral